RNAcentral lists this long non-coding RNA (400 nucleotides) under Mytilus galloprovincialis (Mediterranean mussel). Lineage: Eukaryota; Metazoa; Mollusca; Bivalvia; Mytilida; Mytilidae. The record is from RNAcentral.
AUUUUCUUAAGAAUUUAACAGAAUAAGCUUUAUUUUUUUUAUUUUUAAAGAUAAAGGAAAAAGCUAAAAAAAUUAAAAGAAAACAAAAAUUAAGAUACCCCAUCCAUAUCAAAUUAAUAAAUGGCGAUGGAUGUUAAGUGAUGACAAUAGCUCACAUUCCUCUUAAGACAGGUGAGCUUUACAUAAAUUAUCACUUUGUGUGCGUCAUUCAUUUGUUGGGAAAUAUCGAAAAAUACUUAAGACAUUUUUCCAAGGUAAUCUUCUCAAAUUUCACAGCACAUGGUAAACUUAAAACUUUAUAAAUGUUUAGGAAUUUUCUCAACUAUUUGAAUUUUGAUUCUUAAAAAUAAGAUAGAUUUUUUUCUGAAAAUGUUUUGAAAUGAAUGGAUGAACACAUGCU